GAAACAACCCAGACCGCCAGCUAAGGGUCCCNAANNNUNGCUCAGUGGGAAACGAAGUGGGAAGGCUAAAACAGUCAGGAGGUUGGCUUAGAAGCAGCCAUCCUUUAAAGAAAGCGUAAUAGCUCACUGAUCGAGUCGUCCUGCGCGGAAGAUGUAACGGGGCUAAGUCAYUCACMGAAGCUGCGGGUNUUGAGAUUCAAAUMUUWWACAYGGUAGGAGAGCGUUCCGUAAGCCAAAGAAGGUGUCUUGANAAGNANGCUGGAGGUAUCGGAAGUGCGAAUGCUGACAUGAGUAGCGAUAAAGNGGGUGAAAGGCCCNCUCGCCGUAAGCCCAAGGUUUCCCUACGCAACCGUUCAUUCGGCGUAGG
RNAcentral lists this ribosomal RNA (367 nucleotides) under Candidatus Glomeribacter gigasporarum. RNAcentral's name for it is "partial 23S ribosomal RNA". It matches the Rfam family "Bacterial large subunit ribosomal RNA", at positions 1020 to 1379 of the family's 2925-position model. Lineage: Bacteria; Pseudomonadati; Pseudomonadota; Betaproteobacteria; Burkholderiales; Burkholderiaceae. The record is from RNAcentral.